AUUGAACGCUGGCGGCAGGCCUAACACAUGCAAGUCGAGCGAGUGGCGGACGGGUGAGUAAUGUAUGGGGACCUGCCUGAUAGAGGGGGAUAACUACUGGACACGGUGGCUAAUACCGCAUACUAUCGGAUGUACCCAUAUGGGAUUAGCUAGUAGGUGGGGUAACGGCUCACCUAGGCGACGAUCUCUAGCUGGUCUGAGAGGAUGACCAGCCACACGGGGACUGAGACACGGCCCAGACUCCUACGGGAGGAAGCAGUGGGGAAUAUUGCACAAUGGGCGCAAGCCUGAUGCAGCCAUGCCGCGUGUAUGAAGAAGGCCUUAGGGUUGUAAAGUACUUUCAGCGGGGAGGCGUUACCCGCAGAAGAAGCACCGGCUAACUCCGUGCCAGCAGCCGCGGUAAUAC
Molecule: ribosomal RNA, 406 nt
Filed under: uncultured bacterium
Lineage: Bacteria
Description: partial 16S ribosomal RNA
Rfam family: Bacterial small subunit ribosomal RNA
Source: RNAcentral